GGGUAUCACUUUCUGGUAAAGCUUAGUAGUAGUUGUUGUUACGCUUACCUUUAUUUUUUUGACUUUGUACAACUCAUCAGAUGACAUUUGAUUCAGCACUUUUCUUAACAUACAUAUUUCCUUUCAAAGUUCCUUUUAUUGCUGAAAAAGCUCUCAUAGUUGUGUUGAUUUUUGUAGGCCUUUUAACCUUUACUCUUUUAAAU
RNAcentral lists this long non-coding RNA (203 nucleotides) under Lathyrus oleraceus (garden pea). Its description in RNAcentral is "Pisum sativum (pea) long non-coding RNA (PSAT_LNC000503)". Lineage: Eukaryota; Viridiplantae; Streptophyta; Magnoliopsida; Fabales; Fabaceae. The record is from RNAcentral.